RNAcentral lists this ribosomal RNA (219 nucleotides) under uncultured Lactobacillus sp. RNAcentral's name for it is "partial 16S ribosomal RNA". It matches the Rfam family "Bacterial small subunit ribosomal RNA", at positions 144 to 355 of the family's 1533-position model. Lineage: Bacteria; Bacillati; Bacillota; Bacilli; Lactobacillales; Lactobacillaceae. The record is from RNAcentral.
UAACACCUGGAAACAAGAUGCUAAUACCGGAUAACAACAGAUGAUGCCUAUCAACUGUUUAAAAGAUGGUUCUGCUAUCACUCUUGGAUGGACCUGCGGUGCAUUAGCUAGUUGGUAGGGUAACGGCCUACCAAGGCGAUGAUGCAUAGCCGAGUUGAGAGACUGAUCGGCCACAUUGGGACUGAGACACGGCCCAAACUCCUACGGGAGGCAGCAGCC